This 378-nucleotide ribosomal RNA is filed under the name uncultured archaeon. RNAcentral's name for it is "bacterial SSU rRNA". It matches the Rfam family "Archaeal small subunit ribosomal RNA", at positions 691 to 1068 of the family's 1478-position model. The record is from RNAcentral.
CCGACGGUGAGGGAUGAAAGCUGGGGGAGCAAACCGGAUUAGAUACCCGGGUAGUCCCAGCCGUAAACGAUGUGCGUUAGGUGUAUCGGUGACCACGAGUCACCGAGGUGCCGAAGAGAAAUCGUGAAACGUACCGCCUGGGAAGUACGGUCGCAAGGCUGAAACUUAAAGGAAUUGGCGGGGGAGCACCACAACAGGUGGAGCCUGCGGUUUAAUCGGACUCAACGCCGGAAAACUCACCAGAUAAGACAGCUGAAUGAUAGUCGGGCUGAAGACUCUACUUGACUAGCUGAGAGGAGGUGCAUGGCCGUCGUCAGUUCGUACUGUGAAGCAUCCUGUUAAGUCAGGCAACGAGCGAGACCCACGCCAACAGUUGCU